Lepisosteus oculatus (spotted gar) is the source of this 1405-nucleotide long non-coding RNA. RefSeq lists it as uncharacterized. The record is from RefSeq and is a predicted model, not a curated record. NCBI's taxonomy places the organism in Eukaryota, Metazoa, Chordata, Actinopteri, Semionotiformes, Lepisosteidae.
CUGCACAGCACCUUCUCUUCCACCAGCCCGAACUCCUCCCCCGUGGACAACUGCCUCUUGCAGGAAAAGCAGGCAAAGCAGGCCAGGUGAUCCCAUGUGAAUCCCACUCUGCAUCUUUGGAAGCUAUGGGAAAGUGCAUUUAAAGCCAAGGGCAGGAAGCACUUCUCUACACGAAGCUGCAUUCCUCCACAGCUCCCAUGUGGGAUCCUCGGUUUACCAGACUCGAGUGGGAAGAGGCCAGGGAACAGCGGCCGGAGCAGUGGGAAACGUUGCCGGGGGACACGCCCAGAGAGCGGCUGUUAGCAGCUUCAGGAUGGGGAGGUAUGUGGAGAAUGCAGAUUUGUGAGGGUCACAGUUAAAAAUACACACCAACAGCACAGAACCGCAGGGGAGCAGUAUAAAUAAGUUAAAACAAUCGGAUAUUAUGGAUUUACCUCUUAGAAAGAGGAUUUCAUGCAUAGUCUCUGUGCAACACUUUAAAAUUAAAUAUACAGUAGUUAACAUGCUAUCGGUAUUUAAGCUAACCACCCUCAUAUACAGUAGUUUUCUUUUAUUUCGGUAUUUCAAUACUGGCAUAGAUCUGCAUUCGGUCCCUGAAUCUUGAAAACAAUAUGCAAGACGCACAGUAGUUUCAUGCUGUGUUUGAAGCACCCAGAGAGCUGAUGCUGGAACUGAAUGUGGGUUAUCCACUGGCUUGCCGAGCAUAAUUCCUACAUGUAAAAUGAUUACUAUGGCUACAAAGGCCCCAUUGAUGACGAGCAGCCUGAUAAAUGAAUUGCUAUUCACAGCACUUGCCUGCAUGGAGACUGCACUCUCCCCUCUCUGCGCUGCCUUGGUUUUGCAUGUAUCAGACAGGAUAUCAAGUCACAUCAGGUUUCGAUCCAGGUUGUCUGGAAUGGGUUUGUGCUUGAUUGUAGGUAUCUUUGUACCACAUGUGUGGGCUUUCUGUUCAACGCAGUUCCUGCCAUCACUGCAUAAGGUUUCUCAUGCAGGAUGUAAGUUCUGUUAUACACUCGUAUCCUGUGUGCACGGUGCAUGGCAAAACCUGCCCAGUUUCCUGCAAUUCCAUGUCAUUACCCAACCUGCCAAUCCCCUCAGCUAAGCCAAAAAUGGCGUAAAUUAAAAGCAUCUAAACACUUUCUUUCCAGCAGGAACACUAGUGCAGCAGGUUUUUCACAAUGCGUGGAUACAGUACCAUCUUUCAUCCUGGCUGGCCUUGCUCUGCAUCGGAGAACUUCCAUGCAAGGGUUCUCGUUAUAUCACUAGUUUUAAUGCAAAAUACCGAGGCACACAAUGCUAAAACAAAGGGCUUUGUAUUGAUGCCUUGUUUUGUUUCUGCUCCAUUAGGAAGCAGAAUAAAUUUUACACUAAAAUUAAAGUUCGUCAUCAAAUGACUGUCUAAAAU